Molecule: long non-coding RNA, 497 nt
Filed under: Gallus gallus (chicken)
Lineage: Eukaryota; Metazoa; Chordata; Aves; Galliformes; Phasianidae
Source: RNAcentral
CAAUUUUGGUGGAGAAUGCGGGCACGAUUCAUCUGAAGCUUUAACGUUAGUAAGAAAAAAAAGGAUUUCGUUAGGCCAGACUGUGAGACUACAAAGCAUUGCUGGUGCUGGUGUGACCUUCAUAGAUUAGAUUAUAGCCUGGGCAGUCCGCCAAACUCCAGACACUGUACCGAGUGGUUCCCGUUUGUUUUUUUUUUUUUUUCCCUCCUUCUCUUUAUUCCCCCUUACGUUAGCAGUUAUCAACUAUGAGGUUGCUCUGUAUUGUCAAAGCACUGUAUAAGGGAUUAAAAGCUAUUAUGUUCCUUGCCAGUUACCGGUCUAUAAUUAACCUCUUCAUGUCUUGCUGUGGAGUUGUAUUCAUAUACAACCAAGUGAGGGCCCUGAUAGAGGCACCUGCCUGGUGGCUUUAUGCAAUGUGGUAUAAUUUGAAUUUUGAGACCUUCGAACCGGUUUCUAGGCUUCCCUCCCAGUUUGUUGAACGUUUUUCGAACACCGAG